GGGGAUGUAGCUCAAUUGGCAGAGCACUGCCUUUGCAAGGCAGGGGUUAGGGGUUCGAUUCCCCUCAUCUCCACCA
RNAcentral lists this transfer RNA (76 nucleotides) under Actinokineospora bangkokensis. RNAcentral describes it as "tRNA-Ala". It matches the Rfam family "tRNA". From Rfam's summary of the family: Transfer RNA (tRNA) molecules are approximately 80 nucleotides in length. Their secondary structure includes four short double-helical elements and three loops (D, anti-codon, and T loops). Further hydrogen bonds mediate the characteristic L-shaped molecular structure. tRNAs have two regions of fundamental functional importance: the anti-codon, which is responsible for specific mRNA codon recognition, and the 3' end, to which the tRNAs corresponding amino acid is attached (by aminoacyl-tRNA synthetases). tRNAs cope with the degeneracy of the genetic code in two manners: having more than one tRNA (with a specific anti-codon) for a particular amino acid; and 'wobble' base-pairing, i.e. permitting non-standard base-pairing at the 3rd anti-codon position. The record is from RNAcentral. Lineage: Bacteria; Bacillati; Actinomycetota; Actinomycetes; Pseudonocardiales; Pseudonocardiaceae. RNAcentral also lists the same sequence under 1 other name.